CGUAGAUGGGUCAUUGACGACUGGGUCUGAGCCGAGGGUACCGAUUGCUAGAAAGCCAUGGAAGAGUUCUGAAAUUGCUGCUGAUGAUUCUUCUUCAAAGUCAUCUUCUUCUUCUUCUCUUGCUGCUUCUAGACCAGCGAAUGACUUUCGAAGGUAGUAGUCUCGUUGCCUUAAGGGCUUGGUGCCAUAGUUUGACUUUGGGUAGUAUUGUUGGUCAUCCAGUGAUCUUUGUCCUGAAAAACAAUUGACAGACUGAUCUGACAAGCAAAAUGUAGAAGGAAGUAGGCUAAUAAUGGGGUUACCUGGGGGAGAAGACUUUGCAUUGGCAUUUCAACAGGAAUGCCAUAUAGGUUAUUAUUAAUUUAUUUUAAAUUUUAAAAUCCUUUCUCUCUCUUCUAGGAUGUCUCAAGCAAAUAGAUGAUGUUAGCAUACUAAUAUCACGGUUCUUUAGUCUGUUUAUGCCCAAUAAUCAGGUCUUCUUACCUCAGAAUUCUUUCCAUUGUUGGUGGAUGAUUUGGUACAAUUUGAUGGUGGAUCAACAAUGCCUUUUUGUAUUGAUGUUGUGAGGUCACACUAGUGUGCCUUUUGAAGUUUAGGUACUUGUGUGAUCUUGAUAUAUCAGGAAUAAAAAAUCUAUAUAUUGCGGGAUCCUCCAUUUGAUAAGUCCUAAUUAGUCAACUAACUACGAAAAAACCAUCUCUAUUGGAUUAAUUUUUUACCAUCCACAGCCUCAUACACUUCCUUUCUUAAACAGCCUUUUCCAUUUGUGGAAAUAUAGCCAAAAUUAGAAGGAAAUCAUUGAAACGAGUUGUUUCCUUGUGUUUAAUCCAUUGAAUUGGCCCAUUAGAUGGAAACAUUUCUUUAUGGUGCUGCCAUGACAAGAUCAUACAAGUCUAAUACAAAGAUCCAAGUGCUUAAUGUGAUCUUGCCACAAUAGCAUAAAAGAUUUCAAUUUUAUCAAUUUUAAGCAUUGGAAUUUCAUGCUCUUUUUUUUGCUCUAUUUUUCAUAAUAACUUGAUGAAAAAGGUUAUACUAAUUGAACAUGGAUGACCUUCAAUACAUAUGAUCAUUAAAUGGUGUUUCUGUAUGCUUUUUGGUGCUAAAGUGGUGAAAUCACAUAGGCACCAUUGAAUUCUUAGAGUGGUAGCAUGUGGAGAAAUGAUUACAAGAUUACGGGUAAAAAUGGAAUUUUUGUAACACCUUUUAUCUCUGCCAAAUUCAAAGAUCCCUUUGAAGCUCAGGAAGCAGUUGGACACACUUUAAAGUUCCAGAAUAAAUGGGUAAUUUAGUAAUUUUAGGGGUCAAAGUUUAAUUUAACCUAGUGUCUACUACUGUGCAGUUUGUUAGGAUUUAUCAAUGGGGAUGUGCCUUUGUCCAUGAUGAAUUUUAUUGAUUGACUGAGCUCUAAGUAAGGUGAGGGAGCUGUUUUUUGUGUAUCCCUUUGCUUUAGAUGGCCUUUUGGCCCCUUUGUAAAUACUAUGUAAGGUUGUAUGCACCCUUUUGUUAGACGUUGCUGAUAUAUAUGGUCUUUGUCUAUCAAAAAAAGAAACGAGGAAAAAAAACCCAAAAGGGAUAAGUGCUUCAUAAAAGGCUAGCUAAUUACACACACAGGUGUUUCUUGGAGUGAUUCUGUUACCAGGUAGAUUAGGUCUAAUUUAGAUUGCACUUGUCUUCCCAAGCUUAGCACAUAGCUUAUCGAGUUUCCCUUGGUCCAUUAUGCAUCUAGCAGCAAGCUUACAUGAGCCAGCACACUAGGAACUCUAUUAAUACACACAUGCGCAUACAUGCUUACACACAUGUGAAAUAUGGUCACCUAUGAUCAUGUUUACACUAAAUUAUCAUGGAAGGCCAUGCAAUGACUAACCAGUUUGAUGGAUAUAUGAAACGAUGUGUCUUUAGGAACAUAUGAGCAGAAAAAUGCAGAUAAGAGAACAGGACUCACCGAUGGCAAAAUCUUUGAGUGGCUCACUGCUAUUCUGCCGGAACUUGCGAUGCAUCCAACCUAGUAACUGCAUCAAAGAAGUGCAAUGGUGAAGCCAUAUGGUAUGAAGUGUAGUUUUGGUUCUCUUGUAACAGAGAUUUUCUUCCAAAAUGGAAAAGUUCAAUAGAGAUUGAAUACCUUCAUUUUUAAAAUCCUUCUUCAGAGUUUGAUGUCUGAUCACUUCAGUAGUGAGGAGAGGAUGAGAGAAGCAGCUUUUGAUAGUAAGCCGCAUGACUGUUUAUGAAUAGGAUAUUGAAUUGUUGCUGAAAGCUUCCAAGGGUCUGAGAUACAGGUGGGUAAAGAGAAACACACAGAAAGUUACAAGAUUUGGUGAUUUGGUUGGCUAUUCCUUUUCAAGAUCAAAUCAUGUGGCCAAAUGGUAUGUGGGUUCCAGUACCCACAAGCUGUUGAUUCUGUCUGAUCCAUGCACUUAAUGCAUGUGUGAGGUUGGUUGCAGGUCAAUCUGUGAAGGGAUCUGGUAUACUACUACAGAUUUUGUGAAGUUGCUGGAGAAAGCUCUAAGCAUAUUGGGCUUCAUCUGAAGAUAAUUUCGGAUCUUGUUUCCUCAUAAAAGAGCAUAUCCAGCUUUGAAUACCAGUCUUAUGUUUUGAUGAUAGGAACUACAUGGUCAUCAAAUGUCACUGAGCUGAUGGAGAUGGAUUAGCCUGAGUGGGAGACCAAACAGUGGAAAUUGAAAGGGACAGGCAUAGAGGUGGAAAGGGUAUGAUGAUGAGGGCAAAUCUCUGCGCCAAGGAAAAAAAAAAAAGAACACCUGUCUUCCUGUAUGGCAAUCAACAAUUCCUUAGGUUCUCCGUCAUGUGAUUAAAGCCAGAAAUGGGUUUGAUUCAAAUUUGGGAGGUUUAUGGAUAUGACAGUGGGCUAUUGCUUUGUACCCUAUCCUUGCCUUUGGAUCUUAAAAUGAAGUUCUACAUCCAUCAUGAAUAAUGGAAUACUCAUUUUGUGUGGAUGAAACAAAUAUGAUCUCUGGAAAUGCUGCCAUUCCCACUGAAACCAAACCAUCUGCUGCUUAUCAAAUACUAAAAGUGGAUCACAUUCUCAAUUGUAGUAGGGUCUGAGCACACGAUCGUGACAUCCUCCUUUUGAGAAGCGAACGAGAUAUAUAGGACCCAUUGGGAUGGUGCUGUUUGUCAGGGUGUCAUUGGUAUAUACUUUCAACUCGGCUUUUAAACAAAUGCUGCCUUGUCUUUCUCCUCCUGUAGAUUGCAAGCCCUUCCACAACCCAACAGUCACUAAGCAGGGAAAGGGAUAAGGGUUUGCAUAUGGGUGAGUUGUGGCAAGCUGCCUCAAUUGGGGACGUUCUGAAGCCUCACAACCGAAUUGUCAUCAAUCAGGCCAAGAUAAUGAAAUGAGAAGGAAGUGAUGUGAAUGGUUGAUUUAGUGAGGAGCAGCCGUUGGUGACAUGAGUAGAAUGUAAUAGGGAAAGUGAAGUGCACUGAGCCUAUUAAACAAUAAAAGCAGAGAUAAGAGAGAUAGAGAGAGGGCAACGACUAACAAGCCAUUGGAACUCUCUCUCUGGCCUCUUCCCCUUUGUCUUCUUAGCAUUUUCUCUAUGGCUUCUUCACCGACCGACGGGACGUCUACCCUACAUCCAUCCCUCUUUCUCUUCCUCUCUCUCGCUUCAUGUUCCCUUCUCAUUUUCACAAUUGUUGAUCUGACGGCUGAGGCUCCCUGUAGACCAAAAGAUAUAUGGCCCUCUGAUCAGCCAAUUUUCAUGGUCGGUAAACAUUUGUCUACCCACGUGACGUGGCAGGUUUUUGACCACUCUUUUUGGGUAAGUAGUCUACCCAUAUCCCGAUGAUGGCGGCUUUGACUCGCAUAAAUAGACAUAGGAUUCAGAAAAGUUUCAGGGAAAAGUAUGGUUACACCUUGAGUAGACUAGCAAAUAUAAUGGAUGGACCUCCCUAUCGUGUCGAAUAUAUAGACAAGGUUAGCACAUGUUUGUAGUGUUUGCCUUAGAUGGAGGAAAUGGAUUGGUGCGUUAUUCUUGAGAUCUGGCCCACAAAUGACUCCCUACUUUCUCUUGAUGUCCUUCUUUACCAUAUACUUUUGCAUCAAUUUCCACUCUUUGUAUCAUUGAUUGGACUUAGAUUAUUGAAAUUGAAGUUAGUUGUAAUAACUAAUUCUUAAUUGUGUAAAUAUUGUACAUUAUAAUUCAAUGAGCUUUCAUGAUUGUAA
Molecule: long non-coding RNA, 4177 nt
Organism: Vitis riparia (riverbank grape)
Lineage: Eukaryota; Viridiplantae; Streptophyta; Magnoliopsida; Vitales; Vitaceae
Exons: 6
Source: RefSeq, a predicted model, not a curated record